Podarcis lilfordi (Lilford's wall lizard) is the source of this 73-nucleotide non-coding RNA. The record is from the annotation of a GenBank genome assembly. NCBI's taxonomy places the organism in Eukaryota, Metazoa, Chordata, Lepidosauria, Squamata, Lacertidae.
GGGCUUGUAGCUCAGGGACUAGAGGAUCUGCCUUGCAUGCAGGAGGUCCCUGGUUCAGUCCCUGGCAUCUCCA